RNAcentral lists this long non-coding RNA (792 nucleotides) under Lepisosteus oculatus (spotted gar). Its description in RNAcentral is "lncRNA (ENSLOCG00000021997.1)". Lineage: Eukaryota; Metazoa; Chordata; Actinopteri; Semionotiformes; Lepisosteidae. The record is from RNAcentral.
CCCGGUUAAUAACUAACUUCCCCGCAGGCGCACACCCAGAAGAAAGUCCCCUUCCCUUAGAGAUAGCGCUCUCCCCAAGGUGACGGGCGGCGCAGCAGAGGGCGGACGGGGGAGACCAGCCCGUCAGAACCGGGGGACUGCUCGCCGUGAGCCCGAAUGCCGGUGGGAUAUUUUUCGGGCUUCGCCAGGGACGGUUCCGCGGAUCAUCCCCCCCAGGGCCCGAGAAAAGGGGCGCUCAAAACCGUUCGUCGACGCGGAAGUACGCGACUAAAGUUCGACAUGGUUGAUGUCCAGGUCAGCAGUGUGAGGACUGCGUCGACAAGCAACCCUGAAGAUUCCUGGCUUAAAACCAAUAUAACCAUGGAAAAUCUCGGAGCUGAAGGGGAGACAUGGCGCGGUGUCGCCAUCGCGAUGAUUGUCGUCUGCCUGCUGCUCCUUGGGGCCAUCGGCGUGGGAGUCUGGUAUUUCCUCAGGGGCAGAGAUUCGUGACAUGGGGUGUGGAAAAGACUGGGUGGAAAUGAGGGACCGAUACAAAACAGAAGAGGAGAGACAACAGAGAAAAGUAGGGAGCUUGCGUAGGCUGCAGAGGACCGGGAAAGGAAAGAAACGCUCCGGUUUCGCUGUGCCGCCUCCGUCGCAGAAGUCACGCCUGAAGAAGGCGCAGGCACACCCCGAUACCCGCACCCGUGACACAGCCUCCGCCCUGAGGCUCCAGGCUGCGCACACGCACUCACGGCUCUGGGGUGAGCCCCGGUCCGGCCCCACGCGCAGACGGAGGACCUCGCGUGUUCC